This 374-nucleotide ribosomal RNA is filed under the name uncultured organism. RNAcentral's name for it is "partial 16S ribosomal RNA". It matches the Rfam family "Bacterial small subunit ribosomal RNA", at positions 527 to 896 of the family's 1533-position model. The record is from RNAcentral.
GUAGGUGGCAAGCGUUGUCCGGAAUUAUUGGGCGUAAAGCGCGCGCAGGCGGUCCUUUAAGUCUGAUGUGAAAGCCCACGGCUCAACCGUGGAGGGUCAUUGGAAACUGGGGGACUUGAGUACAGAAGAGGAAAGCGGAAUUCCAAGUGUAGCGGUGAAAUGCGUAGAGAUUUGGAGGAACCCCAGUGGCGAAGGCGGCUUUCUGGUCUGUAACUGACGCUGAGGCGCGAAAGCGUGGGGAGCAAACAGGAUUAGAUACCCUGGUAGUCCACGCCGUAAACGAUGAGUGCCAAGUGUUAGGGGGUUUCCCGCCCCCCUUAGUGCUGCAGCUAACGCGUUAAGCACUCCGCCUGGGGAGUACGGCCGCAAGGCUG